Molecule: ribosomal RNA, 497 nt
Filed under: uncultured bacterium
Lineage: Bacteria
Description: partial 16S ribosomal RNA
Rfam family: Bacterial small subunit ribosomal RNA
Source: RNAcentral
GAUGAACGCUGGCGGCGUGCCUAAUACAUGCAAGUCGAGCGAACGGACGAGAAGCUUGCUUCUCUGAUGUUAGCGGCGGACGGGUGAGUAACACGUGGAUAACCUACCUAUAAGACUGGGAUAACUUCGGGAAACCGGAGCUAAUACCGGAUGAUAUUUUGAACCGCAUGGUUCAAAAGUGAAAGACGGUCUUGCUGUCACUUAUAGAUGGAUCCGCGCUGCAUUAGCUAGUUGGUAAGGUAACGGCUUACCAAGGCAACGAUGCAUAGCCGACCUGAGAGGGUGAUCGGCCACACCGGAACUGAGACACGGUCCAGACUCCUACGGGAGGCAGCAGUAGGGAAUCUUCCACAAUGGGCGAAAGCCUGACGGAGCAACGCCGCGUGAGUGAUGAAGGUCUUCGGAUCGUAAAACUCUGUUAUUAGGGAAGAACAUAUGUGUAAGUAACUGUGCACAUCUUGACGGUACCUAAUCAGAAAGCCACGGCUAACUACGUG